RNAcentral lists this ribosomal RNA (412 nucleotides) under uncultured microorganism. RNAcentral describes it as "bacterial SSU rRNA". It matches the Rfam family "Archaeal small subunit ribosomal RNA", at positions 330 to 745 of the family's 1478-position model. The record is from RNAcentral.
GUGCAGCAGUCGAGAAACCUCCGCAAUACACGAAAGUGUGACGGGGCCAUCCCGAGUGCCGUCCGCUGAGGACGGCUUUUCCCCAGUGUACACAGCUGGGGGAAUAAGGAGAGGGCAAGCCUGGUGUCAGCCGCCGCGGUAAUACCAGCUCUCCGAGUGGUGGGGACGCUUAUUGGGCCUAAAACAUCCGUAGCCGGCUGGGCAAGUCCUCUGUUAAAUCCAACGAUUCAAUCGUUGGGCUGCGGGGGAUACUGUCCAGCUUGGGGGGGGAGAGGCCGACGGUAUUCCCGGGGUAGGGGUGAAAUCCUAUAAUCCCGGGAGGACCACCAGUGGCGAAGGCUGUCGGCUAGAACGCGCCCGACGGUGAGGGAUGAAAGCUGGGGGAGCGAACCGGAUUAGAUACCCCUGUAGU